Long non-coding RNA from Orbicella faveolata, 1578 nucleotides. The record is from RefSeq and is a predicted model, not a curated record. Lineage: Eukaryota; Metazoa; Cnidaria; Anthozoa; Scleractinia; Merulinidae.
UGUAAGGAACUUUGGCACGAGUGUGCUUGAACAUUUUCGAAACAAUUCACGCUGACUGUGUGCAAGUCAUUUGUAUAUUCUAUUUUAUUUUACAUUUUAAUUCACGUAAUAUUAUACUCUUUGGCCACCCGAGUGGCAGUCUGCAACCUUUGUUUGGGAAAUAUAUCAGACCCUUUAUACAGAUCAUUGCAUUCUAUCGUCUGCCCUACAUUGCUACCUUGUUUGGGUGCGUUUCCAGGUCUUUCAAAUCUCAUGUAACUCCGUAGUGACUCGGACUGAUGACGAGGUAGAAUUUGAAAAUUAAACGAGACUUACCAAGUCGAUGUUUGAUUGGAAUUCUUUCUCGUCAUCAGUUAGGAACGAAGGAGUUACAUGCCCGACCUGUAAGUUGGUUUCUUCCCUCCCUUUCCUUCGUUCCUGCUUUUCUCCUGGAAACACUCCCUCUUUAAAGACUGACCAGAUAAGCAUGCGCAUGCUUCUCAUGUAACUCCUUCGUUCCUGACUAAUGACGAGGAAGAAUUCCAAUCAAACAUCGACUUGGUAAGUCUCGCUUAAUUUUCAAAUUUUCCGUGAUGUUUCCGGAAGUUCCUAACAACAAAUGAAUCAUCUAGAUUUUUGUUGGCUGGUACAAACGCUCGAUAAAUCUCCACCACGACAAUACCACUCUAGCAUUCAUAAGUGAUAGCACGCCCUGCCUCGGUUGCAUGUUAUGGCUACUUUUUGAUUAGGCGACACUGCAUCAGUAAACGAUUCCAUUGUUGUUGUUGUUGUCCCUUGUGUUGUAAUCGUAAUCUGUUAAAAAAAAUCCCAGUGUUUAGACUGAAAAUACCAAUAGAAGCAUUGGUUAUUGAAAAUACCUCGUUUUCGUUUUCAUAUUAGGAUCUCGCUGAAGCAACACAAGUCAUGUUGCAUUUGAAAGAACAGAUAGCCGUAUUCACGAUGGGGCUAAAAAAAUCAAGAUUGCCUCUCUCAGAAGAAAAGUAGAAGAACUCCAGAAGGAACUUGAACAAGCGCAAAAGGACUCGUCCAAAACAGUUCUGACAUUGUAUGAACUAACUCACUAUGGGGGAAACAUGAAGGAGUUCAGCAGAGAGAGCAAUGACGUGACGAAGUUUCUUCCCGAAGGAGCCUCUUCAAUUGUUGUGUCUAAACACACGGGUGAAACUUGGCAGGUUUUUACUAAAGUCAGCUUUCGAGGAGCGACCGUAAAUUUACAGCCUGGUAGAAUAUAUGAGUAUCCUUCUGAUAUGGGUCUCUCGGAGCCUGUGAAAAGCUUUCGUAAAGCUCCAUAGAGUGUCUAUCAUAAUCACAAGUGCAACGAAUCUUCAUUUACAGUAGUGGAAAAAGAUAAACAUUGACUCUGAAUUAUCAUGGGCAUCUAUCGGAAGAAAAAGAUCCUGCAAAAUUUAAUUGAAGCUCAGUCUUGUAUCUAUGAACCUUGUCAUUAUUAGUCUCUUUCAAACUCUGUGUUUUUUGUUUUUUGUUUUUUUUCCAAGAGAUAAUUAGAGCAUGCACAUCGUCAAGAGAUUAUCAAGGUAAGAGAGUGAAUCCCCCAUAUAGGUCCUCUAACUAAGGUAA